UGAGUAACCUGCCCUUAACUCUGGGAUAAGCCUGGGAAACUGGGUCUAAUACCGGAUAUGACUCCUCAUCGCAUGGUGGGGGGUGGAAAGCUUUUUGUGGUUUUUGGAUGGACUCGCGGCCUAUCAGCUUGUUGGUGAGGUAAUGGCUCACCAAGGCGACGACGGGUAGCCGGCCUGAGAGGGUGACCGGCCACACUGGGACUGAGACACGGCCCAGACUCCUACGGGAGGCAG
This 234-nucleotide ribosomal RNA is filed under the name uncultured bacterium. RNAcentral describes it as "partial 16S ribosomal RNA". It matches the Rfam family "Bacterial small subunit ribosomal RNA", at positions 118 to 351 of the family's 1533-position model. The record is from RNAcentral.